CCUACGGGAGUGCUGCAGUGAGGAAUAUUGGUCAAUGGCCGGAAGGCUGAACCAGCAAAGCCGCGUGAAGGACGAAGGUGCCAAGAAUUGUAAACUUCUUUUGUCAAGGGACAAAAUCAGGCUCGAGAGCCUGACCGAGGGUACUUGAAGAAAAAGCAUCGGCUAACUCCGUGCCAGCAGCCGCGGUAAUACGGGGGAUGCGAGUGUUAUCCGGAUUGAUUGGGUUUAAAGGGUGCGUAGGCGGGCUGUUAAGUCAGCGGUAAAAGCCCGGGGCCCAACCCCGGCGAGCCGUUGAAACUGGCUGUCUGGAGAUGUCGAGAGGUAUGCGGAAUGCGCAGUGUAGCGGUGAAAUGCUUAGAUAUUGCGCAGAACUCCGAUUGCGAAGGCAGCAUACCGGCGGCGAUCUGACGCUGAGGCACGAAAGCGUGGGUAUCGAACAGGAUUAGAUACCCUGGUAGUC
RNAcentral lists this ribosomal RNA (460 nucleotides) under uncultured bacterium. Its description in RNAcentral is "partial 16S ribosomal RNA". It matches the Rfam family "Bacterial small subunit ribosomal RNA", at positions 338 to 795 of the family's 1533-position model. The record is from RNAcentral.